RNAcentral lists this ribosomal RNA (241 nucleotides) under uncultured bacterium. RNAcentral's name for it is "partial 16S ribosomal RNA". It matches the Rfam family "Bacterial small subunit ribosomal RNA", at positions 536 to 776 of the family's 1533-position model. The record is from RNAcentral.
GAGCGUUGUCCGGAAUUACUGGGCGUAAAGAGCUCGUAGGUGGUUUGUAGCGUUGUCCGUGAAAACUCACAGCUUAACUGUGGGCGUGCGGGCGAUACGGGCAGACUGGAGUACUGCAGGGGAGACUGGAAUUCCUGGUGUAGCGGUGGAAUGCGCAGAUAUCAGGAGGAACACCGGUGGCGAAGGCGGGUCUCUGGGCAGUAACUGACGCUGAGGAGCGAAAGCGUGGGGAGCGAACAGG